AGUUGUAAUUUGCAGAGGGCGCUUUUGGCAUUGGCAGCCGGUCCAAGUUCCUUGGAACAGGACGUCACAGAGGGUGAGAAUCCCGUACGUGGUCGCUAGCCUUUACCGUGUAAAGCCCCUUCGACGAGUCGAGUUGUUUGGGAAUGCAGCUCUAAAUGGGAGGUAAAUUUCUUCUAAAGCUAAAUACUGGCCAGAGACCGAUAGCGCACAAGUAGAGUGAUCGAAAGAUGAAAAGCACUUUGGAAAGAGAGUUAAAAAGCACGUGAAAUUGUUGAAAGGGAAGCGCUUGCAGCCAGACUUGCCUGUAGUUGCUCAUCCGGGUUUUUACCCGGUGCACUCUUCUACGGGCAGGCCAGCAUCAGUUUGGGCGGUUGGAUAAAGGUCUCUGUCAUGUACCUCCUCUCGGGGAGAUCUUAUAGGGGAGACGACAUGCAACCAGCCUGGACUGAGGUCCGCGCAUCUGCUAGGAUGCUGGCGUAAUGGCUGUAAGCGGCCCGUCUUGAAACACGGACCAAGGAGUCUAACAUCUAUGCGAGUGUUUGGGUGUCAAGCCCCGAACGCGUAAUGAAAGUGAACGGAGGUGGGAACCUUUCGGGGUGCACCAUCGACCGAUCCUGAUGUCUUCGGAUGGAUUUGAGUAAGAGCAUAGCUGUUGGGACCCGAAAGAUGGUGAACUAUGCCUUGAAUAGGGUGAAGCCAGAGGAAACUCUGGUGGAGGCUCGCAGCGGGUUCUGA
Molecule: ribosomal RNA, 735 nt
Filed under: Epicoccum nigrum
Lineage: Eukaryota; Fungi; Ascomycota; Dothideomycetes; Pleosporales; Didymellaceae
Description: partial large subunit ribosomal RNA
Rfam family: Eukaryotic large subunit ribosomal RNA
Source: RNAcentral